GAUGAACGCUAGCGGCAGGCUUAACACAUGCAAGUCGAGGGGCAGCGUGAUGAAGUAGCAAUACGGAUUUGACGGCGACCGGCGCACGGGGGCGUAACGCGUAUGCAACCUACCUCUAACAGGGGGGAUAACACUGAGAAAUUGGUACUAAUACCCCAUAAUAUUAUUAAAGGCAUCUUUGAUGAUUGAAAGUUCCGGCGGUUAGAGAUGGGCAUGCGUUGUAUUAGCUAGAUGGUGAGGUAACGGCUCACCAUGGCUACGAUACAUAGGGGGACUGAGAGGUUAACCCCCCACACUGGUACUGAGACACGGACCAG
Molecule: ribosomal RNA, 317 nt
Filed under: uncultured bacterium
Lineage: Bacteria
Description: bacterial SSU rRNA
Rfam family: Bacterial small subunit ribosomal RNA
Source: RNAcentral